Molecule: ribosomal RNA, 253 nt
Filed under: uncultured bacterium
Lineage: Bacteria
Description: partial 16S ribosomal RNA
Rfam family: Bacterial small subunit ribosomal RNA
Source: RNAcentral
UACGGGGGGGGCAAGCGUUGUUCGGAAUUACUGGGCGUAAAGGGCUCGUAGGUGGCCAACUAAGUCAGACGUGAAAUCCCCCGGCUUAACCGGGGAACUGCGUCUGAUACUGGAUGGCUAGAGUGUGGGAGAGGGAUGCGGAAUUCCAGGUGUAGCGGUGAAAUGCGUAGAUAUCUGGAGGAACACCGGUGGCGAAGGCGGCAUCCUGGACCAUGACUGACACUGAAAAGCGAAAGCCAGGGGAGCAAACGGG